This 305-nucleotide ribosomal RNA is filed under the name uncultured Butyrivibrio sp. RNAcentral's name for it is "bacterial SSU rRNA". It matches the Rfam family "Bacterial small subunit ribosomal RNA", at positions 58 to 339 of the family's 1533-position model. The record is from RNAcentral. Lineage: Bacteria; Bacillati; Bacillota; Clostridia; Lachnospirales; Lachnospiraceae.
ACAAGUCGGAACGGGGUAUAGACGCCGUUUGAAGCUUCGGCAGAAAACAUGUCUAUACUUAGUGGCGAACGGGUGAGUAACGCGUGGGCAACCUGCCCCGUACCGGGGGAUAGCAGUUGGAAACGACUGAUAAUACCGCAUAAGCGCACGGUCUCGCAUGGGACAGUGUGAAAAACUCCGGUGGUACGGGAUGGGCCCGCGUCUGAUUAGCCAGUUGGCGGGGUAACGGCCCACCAAAGCGACGAUGUCUAGGGGAACUGAGAGGUUAAUCCCCCACACUGGAACUGAGACACGGUCCAGACUCC